AAAUUGAAGAGUUUGAUCAUGGCUCAGAUUGAACGCUGGCGGCAGGCCUAACACAUGCAAGUCGAACGGUAGCACAGAGAGCUUGCUCUCGGGUGACGAGUGGCGGACGGGUGAGUAAUGUCUGGGAAACUGCCUGAUGGAGGGGGAUAACUACUGGAAACGGUGGCUAAUACCGCAUAACGUCGCAAGACCAAAGAGGGGGACCUUCGGGCCUCUUGCCAUCAGAUGUGCCCAGAUGGGAUUAGCUGGUUGGUGAGGUAACGGCUCACCAAGGCGACGAUCCCUAGCUGGUCUGAGAGGAUGACCAGCCACACUGGAACUGAGACACGGUCCAGACUCCUA
Molecule: ribosomal RNA, 342 nt
Filed under: Salmonella enterica subsp. enterica serovar Agona
Lineage: Bacteria; Pseudomonadati; Pseudomonadota; Gammaproteobacteria; Enterobacterales; Enterobacteriaceae
Description: bacterial SSU rRNA
Rfam family: Bacterial small subunit ribosomal RNA
Source: RNAcentral